CAAGAGUGGCGCACGGGUGAGUAGCGCGUGGGAACCUGCUUUGUUGUGGGGGAUAACCGAGGGAAACUUCGGCUAAUACCGCAUAAGCUUCCGGGCUUGUUCCGGGGGGAAAGAUUUAUCGCGACAGGAGGGGCCCGCGUCCGAUUAGCUGGUUGGUGGGGUAACGGCCUACCAAGGCUGCGAUCGGUAGCUGGUCUGAGAGGAUGAUCAGCCACACUGGGACUGAGACACGGCCCAGACUCCUAUGGGAGGCAGCAGUGGGGAAUAUUGGACAAUGGGCGCAAGCCUGAUCCAGCAAUGCCGCGUGAGUGAUGAAGGCCUUCGGGUUGUAAAGCUCUUUCGCCCGCGACGAUGAUGACGGUAGCGGGAGAAGAAGCUCCGGCUAACUUCGUGCCAGCAGCCGCGGUAAUACGAAGGGGGCGAGCGUUGUUCGGAAUCACUGGGCGUAAAGGGCGCGUAGGCGGCCCUCCUUGUCGCGUGUGAAAGCCCCGGGCUCAACCUGGGAACGGCGCGCGAGACGGGGGGGCUGGAGUUCGGGAGAGGAGCGUGGAAUUCCCAGUGUAGAGGUGAAAUUCGUAGAUAUUGGGAAGAACACCGGUGGCGAAGGCGGCGCUCUGGACCGAGACUGACGCUGAGGCGCGAAAGCGUGGGGAGCAAACAGGAUUAGAUACCCUGUUAGUCCACGCCGUAAACGAUGUGUGUCUAGACGUUGGGGGGCCUAAUCCUU
RNAcentral lists this ribosomal RNA (727 nucleotides) under uncultured bacterium. RNAcentral describes it as "bacterial SSU rRNA". It matches the Rfam family "Bacterial small subunit ribosomal RNA", at positions 90 to 840 of the family's 1533-position model. The record is from RNAcentral.